AACCUGCCCAAGAGAUCGGGAUAACACCUGGAAACAGAUGCUAAUACCGGAUAACAACAGAUGAUGCCUAUCAACUGUUUAAAAGAUGGUUCUGCUAUCACUCUUGGAUGGACCUGCGGUGCAUUAGCUAGUUGGUAGGGUAACGGCCUACCAAGGCGAUGAUGCAUAGCCGAGUUGAGAGACUGAUCGGCCACAUUGGGACUGAGACACGGACCCAAACUCCGUACGGGAGGCAGCAGUA
RNAcentral lists this ribosomal RNA (241 nucleotides) under uncultured Lactobacillus sp. RNAcentral's name for it is "partial 16S ribosomal RNA". It matches the Rfam family "Bacterial small subunit ribosomal RNA", at positions 123 to 355 of the family's 1533-position model. The record is from RNAcentral. Lineage: Bacteria; Bacillati; Bacillota; Bacilli; Lactobacillales; Lactobacillaceae.